AUGGAGAUGAAGAUGGCCGUCAGCGCGGCCAACUGGCUCGUCGGCAAGGUGCUCAGCAAGCUGUCCGACGGGCUGGUGUCCACCUACAUGGCCAGCUCCGAGCUCGGCAGCAAUUUCCUGAACGCCAAGAACCAGCUGGUGUACACACAGGGGCUGCUGUCCGCAUCCGUGGGCAGGGACGUGGGCGACGAUCCUGGCCUGCGCGGACUUCUGGGGACGCUGAGCAAGAAGGCCGACGAAGCCGAGGACGUGCUUGAUGAGCUCCACUACUUCAUGAUCCAGGACGAGAUCGAUGGCACCAAGGAGGCUGCUGCGGAGGUGGGCGGCGGCAUCAAGGGCCAUUCGGUCCAUGGACGCCAUGUUGCUCGCUACACCCUCGGCAACUACCUUCCGUGCUUUUCAUCUCCGCGCACUCUAGGUGACGAGCCUCCUGCAUUUUCUGAUGCUGCUGCCACCAGUGAGCUACAUAGUGAACAUAUUAAGUUGCCAUUUAACAGAGUAGCCAUGUCCAAGAAAAUCAAGUCUGUCAUAGAGGAGAUGAACUCCAUAUGCCUGCUUGUCUCUGACCUGCUCAAAGUCAAAACUGCAAACCACAGUAGCAUUGCAUUAAGCACACAUGUCACCAUUGAAAGGCCUCCAACUGGUUCCAUAGUUCCACAAGAUAGAAAACUGUAUGGAAGGAAUGACAUUUUUGAGCAAACUGUAAAUGCACUCACCGGUGGCACCUACCAUGACAAAACCCUCUAUGUUCUGCCUUUCGUUGGCCCUGGGGGCAUCGGAAAGACGACCUUCACACAGCACCUGUAUAAUGAUGAAAGAAUCAAGGGGCACUUCCCUGUCAGGGUCUGGGUAUAUGUUUCAACUAAUUUUGAUGUGAUUAGGCUCACCAGGGAGAUACUUGGCUGCAUACCUGGAACUAACACAAGCACAAUUGAACCAACAAACUUAGACCAACUUCAGACAGCCAUUGCAGAGAGACUGGACUCCAGAAGGUUCUUAAUUGUGUUGGAUGAUAUGUGGACUUGCAAGAGUGUACGCGAUUGGGAAAACCUAUUGGCCCCAUUCACAACAGUGGGAACCAAGGGCAGCAUGAUUCUUGUUACAACUCGAUUGCCAUCUGUAGCACAAAUGGUCAAAACAACUGAUCCAAUAGAGUUGCAUGGUUUAGAGCCUGAUGACUUCUUUGCACUGUUUGAAUCAUGUAUAUUUGGUCAUAACAAACCCAGGCUUUAUGAUGAUGACUUGGUCAAUGUUGCAAGAGAUAUUGCAAAGAAGCUAAAGGUUCGCCACUGGCAGCAAAUACAGUUGGUCGACUGUUGA
RNAcentral lists this ribosomal RNA (1320 nucleotides) under Triticum aestivum (bread wheat). Its description in RNAcentral is "partial small subunit ribosomal RNA". The record is from RNAcentral. Lineage: Eukaryota; Viridiplantae; Streptophyta; Magnoliopsida; Poales; Poaceae.